AUUGAACGCUGGCGGCAGGCUUAACACAUGCAAGUCGAGCGGGGUGAUGGUGCUUGCACUAUCACUUAGCGGCGGACGGGUGAGUAAUGCUUAGGAAUCUGCCUAUUAGUGGGGGACAACAUCUCGAAAGGGAUGCUAAUACCGCAUACGUCCUACGGGAGAAAGCAGGGGAUCACCUGUGACCUUGCGCUAAUAGAUGAGCCUAAGUCGGAUCAGCUAGUUGGUGGGGUAAAGGCCUACCAAGGCGACGACCUGUAGCGGGUCUGAGAGGAUGAUCCGCCACACUGGGGCUGAGACACGGCCCAGACUCCUACGGGAGGCAGCAGUGGGGAAUAUUGGACAAUGGGGGGAACCCUGAUCCAGCCAUGCCGCGUGUGUGAAGGAGGCCUUAUGGUUGUAAAGCACUUUAAGCGAGGAGGAGGCUCUUUUGGUUAAUACCCAAGAUGAGUGGACGUUACUCGCAGAAUAAGCACCGGCUAACUCUGUGCCAGCCGCCGCAGUAA
This 503-nucleotide ribosomal RNA is filed under the name uncultured bacterium. RNAcentral's name for it is "partial 16S ribosomal RNA". It matches the Rfam family "Bacterial small subunit ribosomal RNA", at positions 30 to 523 of the family's 1533-position model. The record is from RNAcentral.